This is a long non-coding RNA of Heterocephalus glaber (naked mole-rat), 1568 nucleotides long. The record is from Ensembl. Lineage: Eukaryota; Metazoa; Chordata; Mammalia; Rodentia; Bathyergidae.
UAUUUAACUUUCCCUAUAAACAUUUUUGGAAAUAACAUGCUGAAUGUUAUUUUUAAAAGUGUAAAAUGGCAUGUCAGUGCUGCUACAAUACCAUUGACAAGUGACUUAGCAGACAUUUCUCAAAGAUUUGAAGGCUAGAAGUCCAGGAUCAAGGUGCUGGGUGAUUCUUUCCUGUGAGGGCUCUUCAAGAUCUUGAAUGUUACCUUCUGUGCCCUAAAAGUCUCCAGUAAGGACACUUGUCUCAUCCUUUACCCUCAUGACUUAACUGAUUUCCCAAAGGCUCCACCUCCAGAGGACAUCUUAUUUGGAAUAAGGUGAUGCAUUGAGUGCAUAACAGAAGGUAAUUGGUGUGGACUAGAGACCUUGGCUGUGAAAGGUUCAGACUCAACAGUUGGGUUUUCUUGGUCAGCAGAGGCUGAAACAGGCUGCACAUUCCCCAGAGCCUAUUCUAUUAGUGUCUAUGAAAAUGAAACCUUACAAAGCUAAGUAUAGGAGAGGAAUUGAAAAAGAGCAAUGAACUAUACAAGAAUGAUACAGAAGCAAGAACUGCUACAUACAUGGAUGAAUCGCACAGAUGUCAUGCGAAAGCCAGAUAAUGAAAGAAUGCUGUUUCCAUGUGUAAGUUCAAGAACAGAUAAACCUAAAAGUGUCAUCGAAGUCGUUCUAGUGGUUACGUCUGGACAGGAGUAAAUGUGUACCAGCUGCAUAGACAAACUUCUGAGUAGAAAUCUCUAUUCCAGGCCCCACGGCACACAAGAGAGUCAAAACAAGUAAAAGACGUGCCUGGUCACAAAUUUCCAAAAAAUUGCAGGAGGGGAAGAAAGGGGAUACAAAUGACAGUGUGGAGAGAAUGGAUAUUAGCAGCACGGCUUCGGUAACCAGUCUUCUGGAUGAAAUACCCUCUCAUGUGCAGGACAUUCCGAACAAGGCUGGACUCUAGGGUAUUCCUUGAGCUGAAAUUAGAAAAUAACCCGACAGUGAAGCCGCUCUUUCACGUAAGCUGUAGUGUGAGUGUCCUGCUCCGUGAACCGCUGCUGUGAACAGAAGCCUGUUUCGGCAUCGGAAGCUGUCCCAGCAGCCCUUCCAUCUCUUUCAUGAAAGCUUCAUAAACGUCAUCCUUAGUUUGUACUGAGACAGGAACAGAAGGACCAGAUUUGGGGGCUGCUUUGGCAAGAGGCACAGCGGAAUCACCUCUGACUUUCUUUGGGGGGCAGCAGUGGCCCCUUUAUUCUCGACGUACCCUCAGUGCAGUGGGCACGACUCGAGUAAUCUCUGCCUUGGGGUUAAUGAUCUGUGGCUUAGCGCUCUGUGGCUUUCUUCUCAAUGGUGGCUGCACUCCUGUCAUCCGCCUCGGGUCGCUGAAUCAAGUUGGCCGGGGCAGGCACUCAACACGCCUGGGUUCGGCAAGGGAGCUGGGGGGGAAGAGCCCAGGUGGGGCAGGUACGAGUGGAGUCACCAAAGUUGGGCGCAUCACCAGGACAGGGCGGAGGGAUACCUGGUAGUGCAGGGAAAUGCAGCCGAAUGCAGCCGUGGUGGGGAGGAGGGCCAGGGAGCAGCGCUGGAGGAGG